Molecule: ribosomal RNA, 254 nt
Filed under: uncultured bacterium
Lineage: Bacteria
Description: partial 16S ribosomal RNA
Rfam family: Bacterial small subunit ribosomal RNA
Source: RNAcentral
UACGAAGGGGGCUAGCGUUGUUCGGAAUCACUGGGCGUAAAGCGCGCGCAGGCGGGACUAGCAAGUCGGGAGUGAAAUCUUGGAGCUCAACUCCGAGGCUGCUUCCGAAACUGCGGACCUGGAGACCAGUAGAGGUUGGUAGAAUUCCCGGUGUAGCGGUGGAAUGCGUAGAGAUCGGGAAGAAUACCUGUGGCGAAGGCGGCCAACUGGGCUGGAUCUGACGCUGAGGCGCGAAAGCGUGGGGAGCAAACGGG